This 118-nucleotide ribosomal RNA is filed under the name Beta vulgaris subsp. vulgaris (sugar beet). Lineage: Eukaryota; Viridiplantae; Streptophyta; Magnoliopsida; Caryophyllales; Amaranthaceae. The record is from RNAcentral. RNAcentral also lists the same sequence under 1 other name.
GGGUGCGAUCAUACCAGCACUAAUGCACCGGAUCCCAUCAGAACUCCGCAGUUAAGCGUGCUUGGGCGAGAGUAGUACUAGGAUGGGUGACCUCCUGGGAAGUCCUCGUGUUGCACCC